Molecule: ribosomal RNA, 254 nt
Filed under: uncultured bacterium
Lineage: Bacteria
Description: partial 16S ribosomal RNA
Rfam family: Bacterial small subunit ribosomal RNA
Source: RNAcentral
UCCUACGGGGGGCAGCAGUGGGGAAUAUUGCACAAUGGGCGAAAGCCUGAUGCAGCAACGCCGCGUGAAGGAAGAAGGGUUUCGGCUCGUAAACUUCUAUCACCAGGGACGAAAGAAAUGACGGUACCUGGAUAAGAAGCCCCGGCUAACUACGUGCCAGCAGCCGCGGUAAUACGUAGGGGGCAAGCGUUAUCCGGAAUUACUGGGUGUAAAGGUGGAGUAGGCGGCAUGGUAAGCCAGAUUUGAAAGCCUUG